Molecule: small RNA, 125 nt
Filed under: Marmota monax (woodchuck)
Lineage: Eukaryota; Metazoa; Chordata; Mammalia; Rodentia; Sciuridae
Source: RNAcentral
GCUGGGCAUGGUGUCCCACGCCUGUAAUCCCAGCAGCUCCGGAGGCUGAGGCAGGAGGAUUGCGAGUUCAAAGCCAGCCUCAGCAAAAUCGAGGCACUAAACAGCUCAGUGAGACUCUGUCUCUC